This 149-nucleotide unclassified non-coding RNA is filed under the name fungal sp. Its description in RNAcentral is "partial internal transcribed spacer region". The stretch from base 1 to 46 matches the Rfam family "Eukaryotic small subunit ribosomal RNA", at positions 1786 to 1831 of the family's 1831-position model. RNAcentral also lists the same sequence under 2 other names. Lineage: Eukaryota; Fungi. The record is from RNAcentral.
AAGUCGUAACAAGGUAACCGUAGGUGAACCUGCGGUUGGAUCAUUAAGUGGUUAGUUUAACGAACCAGCAAGCAAAUGUUGUUUGACUAGACUUUUAAUUAAUGGAUAUUAUGAAAAGACAACUUUUGACAAUGGAUCUCUUGGUUCUC